RNAcentral lists this ribosomal RNA (253 nucleotides) under uncultured bacterium. RNAcentral's name for it is "partial 16S ribosomal RNA". It matches the Rfam family "Bacterial small subunit ribosomal RNA", at positions 524 to 776 of the family's 1533-position model. The record is from RNAcentral.
UACGUAGGGUGCAAGCGUUGUCCGGAAUUAUCGGGCGUAAAGAGCUUGUAGGCGGUUUGUCGCGUCUGCUGUGAAAUUUCGGGGCUCAACCCCGAACUUGCAGUGGGUACGGGCAGACUAGAGUGUGGUAGGGGAGACUGGAAUUCCUGGUGUAGCGGUGAAAUGCGCAGAUAUCAGGAGGAACACCGGUGGCGAAGGCGGGUCUCUGGGCCGAUACUGACGCUGAGGCACGAAGGUCAGGGGAGCAAACGGG